UGGGGAAUCUUGCGCAAUGGGCGAAAGCCUGACGCAGCCAUGCCGCGUGAAUGAUGAAGGUCUUAGGAUUGUAAAAUUCUUUCACCGGGGACGAUAAUGACGGUACCCGGAGAAGAAGCCCCGGCUAACUUCGUGCCAGCAGCCGCGGUAAUACGAAGGGGGCUAGCGUUGCUCGGAAUUACUGGGCGUAAAGGGAGCGUAGGCGGACAUUUAAGUCAGGGGUGAAAUCCCGGGGCUCAACCUCGGAAUUGCCUUUGAUACUGGGUGUCUUGAGUGUGAGAGAGGUAUGUGGAACUCCGAGUGUAGAGGUGAAAUUCGUAGAUAUUCGGAAGAACACCAGUGGCGAAGGCGACAUACUGGCUCAUUACUGACGCUGAGGCUCGAAAGCGUGGGGAGCAAACAGGAUUAGAUACCCUGGUAGUCCACGCCGUAAAACGAUGAUUGCUAGUUGUCGGGAUGCAUGCAUUUCGGUGACGCAGCUAACGCAUUAAGCAAAUCCGCCCUGGGGGAGUCGGUCCAAGAUUAAAACUCAAAUGAAUUACGGGGUCAUAGCUGUUUCCGUG
Molecule: ribosomal RNA, 563 nt
Filed under: uncultured bacterium
Lineage: Bacteria
Description: partial 16S ribosomal RNA
Rfam family: Bacterial small subunit ribosomal RNA
Source: RNAcentral